AAUUUGUCGACGAAUUUGAUAUUCUUUUACAAAAUAUACUUAUCUUAAUAUGUAUAACCGGAGUUUAUAUUACAUGCCCCUCUCCCAACGAUAGUUGUAGUACUCUUAUAAUAGUAGUACUCAUGAAUACAGUUAAUCCGGGUUGUUGGGAGAGAUCACAUGCAUAAAUACAACAUGAAACAAACGUGUGAAAAAGGUACAUAAAAUCGGUGUGACCCGUUCUUGUAUUAUAAGAAAUCAACUUGCUUAGGCCUUGCCGGACUCCUCACAACCCGGUGGCUUGAAGGCGAUGAAGCUGAUGCACUGCACUUGCCUGGUGUUGUCGAAGCCGAUGAUGCGGACAUAGGCGUCAGGGUACUCCUUCUUCACCUCCUCCAGCUCCUUUAGCACCUGCGUGGCGUCGGUGCACCCGAACAUGGGAAGCUUCCACAUUGUCCAGUACCUGCCGUCGUAGUACCCGGGAGAGUUGCCGUGCUCACGGAAGACGAAACCGACCUUGCUGAACUCGAGGCAAGGAACCCACUUGGAGCGGAUGAGAUACUCGAUCUGCUUCAAGAGGGACUCCACGGUGAGAGGCGGCAGGUAGGAAAGGGUUUCGAACUUCUUGAUGCCCUCAAUUGGCCACACCUACAAUUAGAUUAAUAAUUAGCACCGAAAGUAUAAUUUGAGACACAUAUCAGUAUUUCACUUCAACAUAUGUACAUGAUGACAUACAUACCUGCAUGCACCUGAUCCUUCCACCGUUGGAGACGCUGCCGAGACCAGCGCUGGCUGAGCGGCGGCCGAUGGGGAGCCCGGCGGUGGACUUGAGGCCCUGGAAAGGAGCAACGGCAGUAGCCGCUGACGACAUCACUGUGGGAGCCAUCGUACACGUACGUAGAUAGCUAACAAGAGGAGGCAGGCUUGCUUGAGUGCUCUCUAGCUACAGCGGCUUAUAUAACUGUAGGCUCCCCACCCAUCCAAUAUCAGCACAAGAUCUAGGAGGGGUGGCUGCAGUUCGCCGCGCGGAUUUGCCCAGGCCACGCUGGCAUCCUACGGAUCAGGUCGGGCGCCACAUGGCCGCACGAAAUGGCGCGCGUUAUCCUCUGGACGGAUACAAUUGGCUGCAACGCACUCUGCAAAUCAUGCCAUGAAGUGACCAAUUUUCACCUAUCAGGAUAGAUCCAAUGUGCCACGGCAUGCACUCAAAAACAGAACUUGCUAAUCCCUCCAAUCCAUAAAAAAUCUCGCCCACUUAUUAGAAAAUUUGUAAUGAGUUAAUGCAAAAUGAGCAGCACUUUUUAUGAACUAGAGGAACAACAAAUUAAGAGAAACUCUUCUAAGAUCUUAUCGAGAACGAAGCUUGCCCCCGCGUCGCUCAGUCUGGGGCGACACGGGCGGCAACCACACCAGCCCCGGCAGCAGCCUCUCCCCGUCCUCUCCUCCCCCUCGCCGCCGCCGGGCAAAGCCCGCACGGGGACGGCGGCGGCGGGGCUGUUUUUCUUGGCGGGGGUGUCCUAGAGCUCUUGGCUGAGGCGUUUGAGGUGCUGCCUCAUCGUGGUCGCGGCGUCUCCGGCCCGAUCCGGCAGGCUAUGCCUCGUCUUCGGCUAGAUCCGGCCGGCUUCCUCCCGGAUCCGGUGUUUCCCCUCGUUCUUCCUCUCCCUGGUGCUCGGUCUGCUCGUGGCUGCGCGGCUUCACGGCGGCGCUCUUCGGCCGGAUCUAGCUACUCGUUGGCCAGAUCCGUCAUCUCCUCCGGCUGAUCCGGCAUGUCCCAGGUCUCUUCGUUUCCAUCAUUUUUCCUCUCAGUUUGGUGAGGCGGCUGAUUGAACUUCACCGGCGGCAGAUGGGCUGCUGCUGCGGCCAUACAUGGUCCAAGUCGGUCCUUUUCGAUGCCAUGGUGGCGUGGUUUUCAUUUUCGGUCGCGUCUUCGGCUGCUGCCCGUGUGCGAGGUAUGGACGUCGGCUCCGGUGUUUGGAGUGUUGCUCUGGAUGAAAACUGCCCGUGUGCGAGGUAUGCCGAAGACAACGAUGUUGUAGCGCCGUUUUCCUUCUUGGAGGUGUCGUCGAAGAGCUUCACUUUCCCUCACUUUGAUGUUUGGUGUCUUCGGGUGAAAACCUAAGAUUUGGCUAUGGCCAGAUCGGGCGACAACGGCGUUUUUACGUCGAUUUCCUCCUUGGGGGCGUUGUCAUGGAGACAACGACUCUUGGUGGCAUCGGGUGGUGUGGUCCGUCUAUGGUGGAGCUUGUUGUCUCGAGUUGUUGAAGGUUUGGUGGUGUCUCUUCUUGUGUCAUGUGUUAGCUUAGGCUGUCGGUUUGUGUCCGGCGAGAACGUGCGUUUCUUAUCCUUUGGUGCGGUUUCGGCAUGUGAUGCCUUUCGUCUUCACUAUCGUCACGUAGGUGUCGUGUUGUAUUCUCGGUGGUGUGUGGUCUUUCGGCUUAGCCAACGGCAAGUGGAGGUAUGAUCUCGGUUGUGUAUUGCCCUUCGACUUCAUCGGCGGCACAUCGGCGUCGCGGUGGGUCUCAGUGACGCGCAGCCCUUCGACUCUGCCGGCUACGUAGGUGUCAUGGUGCGGCCUUGACCCUGUGCUUCCCUUCAGCUACGGCGACGACAUAGUGUCUGGGUGGGCUCGUCAGAUCGACGCCUUUCGACUACAUCAACUAUGCUCUUCAUUGUGCAUUUAUUUUGCCAUUGACAUGUUUCAAGAGUCUAGGUUUUUUCCUUGUGUUUCUUUUAGCAAAUGCUGUUCUGCAGGCUGGCUUUUGCCCACCCGAUCAGAAAAGAAAAACAAAUUAAAGGCUAAAAUCAAGCGAUGUUAUAUUCCCUUAGCUAUUACAAAUAUGGAUGAUAAGAGUUAUUUAUCCUUUUUCAACGAGUAACCCUUUACUUGGAAGUUCCAUGUGCAUGGCGCUGCAAGAAAACAAACAUCAUAAUGGGGCAAGACUUUUUUUUUUAUAAACAUCCAAUUUGGGUUAAAGUCUGAAAGAAUUUGGCUAUCUGAACUUUCAGUUUCCACAUUCUUUUACCUACUCAAUUCUUCAGCCAACAGGAUCAAUGGCGACCUACUAACACCAACCAGAACACAUGGGUCACAAACACGAAAAAGGGCUAGAAGGCUACUUAUACACACUCAUGUGUACUGCGAGCAAAAGAACAUAAUGUACAAAACUUUACAAAAUCUAGGGAAUUAAGACCUUCCCGUAUGCUGUUGCUGCCGCUGCUGCUUCAUGCUGGCUCUCCUGGCAACAUCCCAUGGUUUGUGAGGCACACCUACACCUUGCUGGGAUGCGAAGAACGACUCGUAUCCCGGGGAGUCGAAAGCAAAACCAGUGUGCUUGGAGUUCUCUCGAGGGAGCAUGGAGAUCGCAUAGCUUCUUGCUUCUUCUGGGCUCAAAUGGCUCCUCUCAGGCAGAUGUAUCAUGCUGUAUUCGUGGGGGUCAUCCUUGUGCAUCUCCUGGAUUACUUGGUAGUCAUAGGGAAAGAGCCAUCUUUGGAGCCUGAGAAAGCACACAGCAUCAAAGACAACAAUUGAUUCAGCUACUUCAGUAUGUACAAUGGAAGGAAUAACAAACGGAUGGCAUUAACAAACAUAUAAUUUUGCAAAAGAGCUGGUAUCUUACGAUAGAUACAGGAAAUCACCAAAGAGAGCGAUGACUGGAGCAAGCAUUAGUGUGAGGUAGAAGAAAAAGGUACUCAUCAGAACAUAAAUCACAAAAUAUACAUUUUCCUGCACAAGGUACACAGCAUUAAGUCAAUGCAUUUGUAGCAAGUAAUCGUCAUCAGCAGUGUAAUAGCUACAUUAUUCACCCACCUGUCGGUCAAAUGAUGUCAUUAUCGCAGAAUAUAUGAAGAUAAACAGAAACCAGGCCGCUAUACUGCCAGCUACGCUGAAAUAAUGCCAUCUCGUGAUAGAAUUGCACGACAUGAGGAGACGUAGAUUAACAGUCACCACAACACAAGUAAAGGCCAUCGUGCUAACAUCCCAUUGACCAAGAAUCUUGCCAGAUGAACCGUGACCAUGCUGACUUGCAGCUGCAGUAAAGUAAUAGAACACUAUUGACUGGUAGAAGGCAAAGAAACCCCACACCGCAAUCACUUUCCACCGGAAGAAUGUGUUCCUAAUUCCUUCUUGGUAAAGUUGUGGGUAUUUUUUUGAUAGAGAUGCACUCACAUCCUGAAAGGGUUCAGUUUAGUGAAUGUAGCAAGGAGCGUCACUCCAGAACAAGAAAAGUAGAACAAAUACAAGCAACCAUACCUUAUCAAACAACCCAACCAUAAUUACAGGUAGUGCCGUGAAAAUGACAUUAUACAGAGACUGGAACCAGUCAUCAUAAAAUCGCUGACCAGAAAAGCCAGUUUGGAAAGUGAACCAGAACUGAGUUAGUGUAAAAGUCAGAUUCUUGUAGAAGAAGUAUGUGAUAACCUGAAACAGAAAGUGUCAAUGUUAAAAAAAUUAAACUACACAGAUUGGCAGCUACAAGCUAAGGGACCAAAGCAUACCUUGCACAAUCUCAAGUAUGACCACCGCCCAUGUACAAGAAGUAAAUCCGUAAGAUAUCGAAACUGAGCAAUGGCAAAAUCACUCGCCAUAACAGCUUGCAUUCCUUCUUGUCCGCUGAUGCCAAUACCAACAUGAGCAGCUUGAAUCAUACUCACAUCAUUAGCACCAUCACCAAUACUGAGAGUUAUCUUACGUGCACCUUUCCUAACUAAACUUGCAACCUACAAAUGUGUCAACAUUACAUGUUUUGGCAUCAUUCGAACCCAACAGGUUAUUAGGAAAUAAAUCCAAAAAUAAGAGACUUUGAGAUUGCUGAUGGGAUGGGUAACAACCAAAUAAGCACAUAUACAAUAAGUUAAUUAAUACUACCUUUGUUUCAAAAUAUUAUACCAAAACGUCUUAUAUUUUGAAACAGAGAUAGUACUUAUAGUACAAGAGUGUACAGGACAUUUAGUUAAGAGGCCAAAACUAGAAUAGCAAAAGCAACCAAUGCACAGUGGUUAAUAAUGAUCUUGUGAAUCAUGCACAAACUAUUUUGUUGUCAAGGUACAAAAUUGGAUCCUUUAAAAUGUAAUAAUAUCAAUAUCCCCCGUUUAUUGCCCAAGCAUCCUGAAAGGCAUGCAGCUGAGAGCUGCAGACCAUACUGCUAAUUAUUUCAUGGGAAAAGGCAAGGCAUGCAUGAUAAGAACGCUAAAAGCGAGAAUUGAUAUUUACCUGUGCCUUUUGCAGUGGAGAAACUCGACAACAUACAACUGAUUGGCAAAUUAAACUCAAACCAAGAAGAUUCACACGCAGAGCUGGGUCUAGAGCGUACAUCAAGCAUCGUCCAUCAAUAAUGAAAGCCAACUUUCGUCCUGGCGUGCUCCUCAAAGAACGGUGGGCUUCCUCAAGGUAACUUCUCAGACUCUGUUUUACCGAGUCUUUGAUAACACGUGCAAUUUCCACAGGGUCUCCCUGAAAAUGACUGGAACAUUAUUCAUGGCAAAGAUAUGUGCAUAAGUUGAUUUACAUCAAUCAGAUACAAAUGCUAAAUUGCUAAUUAUGGUUGAUCAAACUGCAAAACACACGAGAUAUCCAAAAGGCUAUAUAAACAUGAUGGAGAGGCUAAAGCACUGAAACAACAGAAUCAACAUAAAGUAUUUUGUACUAUUAUGCAACUAAGCCUUUUGUCCCAAGCAAGUUGGGGCAGGCUAGAUAUGAAACCCAAACAGAAACUAAAGCAAAGUGCAGGUAACAAAAGAGCAAGAGAGUAAAUCAAGGUUCAGGCACAUGGACUGCUGAUUUCCAUGCAGCCCUAUCAAAAGCAAAAUCUCUAGAUACAUUCCAGUCCUUCAAGUCCCUUUAACUGCCUCCUACCAAAAGCAAAUAUCAUAGUAAUCCACCAACCAAAGUAACAAGGGAACUACUUGUAACUUCUUAGUUCACAAGUACAUACCAGUUGAGCUAUCCAAUUAUUCUAAAUAAUAUGGUUUGAUACCUUUACCAAAGUCUCAACUUGUAUUCAUUUUAAAGCUUAUACAAGAUAUUAUAUGUUAUGGCUUAACAGUCUCCAUGACACAAUAUGGCUUGACUUCACAGUUUAAUUCUAUAGGAUUAUCUUACCCUGUCUUCAGCAUCUCUAAUUGCAUCUGUCUCAGAAGUGAUGAUGAAUUGUUUUGUAUCGUUAUUCACCAGGCUGCACGCUGCAGAGCAAAAACUAAAUAACUUCAGAAGCUUUUCUAUGUCAGGUGAAAGAGAGAGAAAAAGACCGCCCGCCCCCCACCAAUAAUCCAAAACUGAGCUUCUAUUAGACCCCUUAAGAACGAAACAAGCAUGCAAAUUGAUCUAUAUAUAAUUAAAACCUCACCAUAUGCUAUAUUAAUUGCUGUUUCCAUUUUAUCUCCAGUUAGCACCCAAAUUUUUAUGCCAGCUGCAGAAAGAGUUUCAAUGCAGGCUGGAACCCCUUCUUGCAGUUUGUCUUCUAUUGCAGUGCACCCUAUCAAUAUAAGGUCCUUUUCAAUCAACUCAGCCACCUACAGGGGAAGAAACAGAAGGAAAUUAUAUGGCAAUGUCCCAGCAAUAUCUUAAAUCAGAAUAUACAUUAAGUCUAUUACUUCAAAUUCCUUUUUCCUAGAAAUCACAGUGAACUUAGUACAUGAAAGAAUGAAAGGAUAAUGCUUUUCUAAUGGGGAUUUGAAAAAACAUCAUAAAAAUAAUAAUAUAAAGUACUGUAUGUUCUUGUUCUAGAUAAAUUACAAAUAUCUUUUGCUCAUGAUCCUCUUUCCUGACUAAAAAAUAUAUAUUAUUAUGUAAAAUACUAAUGUUCUAUGGCAGUACAAGAUAAUAAAUUAGCACAAAAAACUAUUAAACUGCAAAUGUCAGCUGUUAGGGAUGGAUGACAUGACUCCUGUAGUUUUGGGGGGAGAGAGAGAGGAGACACACUGAACAAAUUACUUCCUUCGUCUCCAAAGAUUGCCAUGCCACAUUCUAUUCGGUCAGUCAACCUUUUACAACUUCAAAAUUAACAAUUAUAAGUGAAUUGAAUUACUACAUGAAAAAUAACAGCACUCAAUUUGCUUGCAUAAUAAUUUGUACGCAAAACUUUUGCUUGUAUAUUAGCAUAGAAAUCAUAGCCAGAGUUUUAUGUUGGGAGAAUAUAAAAUUAAAAAAUGGCCUACAUUUGUCAGGUACAUUCAGUUAAUUGUUUCCAAAACCAAAUUAAUUUUCAUACAUAAAUACCAAACGGAUCAAUAGCAUGCUCAACAGUGCACAUGAGACUCGAGUUCAGUACUGGAUGACAGAAAGUAAAAAAAAUCAGGCAAGCACUAGAAGGUGGAGGGGAAGUAAUCGAAAUUCAAAUCACAGGGACUGUUCAGCCUGUAUACUCAACAGAAGAGGAUGGUACACAUACCUCAUCAAGCUUCUUAUCACGAUCUCGUAAAGAAGAUUUAGCUUGAACAAACUUCUCAUUCCAGCUUUCGUACUGCUCCCUGCUUAGAUCUCGAUAAGCAAGGCAAAGCGUGCGCAAGCCAGCAGAGCCAAAUUGUUCUAGAUGUUCUCUGCUUGUCUUUUUAAUGUCAUGAUUUCCAUCAGCUAACCGUUCAAAAAUGACAUUAUCAGCGCCCUGUUACACAACAUUUGUAUAAGGUUAGUGCAUCAAUCUACAAAGUGAUAGCUACAUAAAGAUUCUUUUUUCUUGUAUUACCUUGCAAUACAGAACAAGUUUUCCAUUUGGGAAACGGCAAACCACAGAUUGGCGCUUUCUUGUACUGUGAGUGCAGUAAAGUGUGAAGUGCAGAACAAUGAUUUCAUCUUGUCAAAUUUAAAUUGAAAACAGAUAAACCAGACCUGUUGAAUUCCAAAACAUUCAGAAUUUCAUAUGCAACAUCUUGUAUACUCCCCAUCCUCUCAACAUGUGAUUCCCGAACCAAGACUGUGGUUGGCGUACGUCUACAAGACAGGCACAAAAUGUCAACCACCGGCAUUGCCAUUCACAAUAAAAAUGCCACAUGAAAUAAUUUGCAACAAAAAUCAUAAGAACUUAGAUGAGUUCAUGUUCACAGCACUUGCUUUAACACUUGUCUUAAUUUACAACGGCAAUUUUUUGUUGAUGGGCUAAUAGUUUAUUUAUGCUUCUUAGUAUGUACAUUCAGUCCUUCAUACAACAAACUAUAUAAGCAAUAACCUGGGUGAGUGACUCUUUUAUGCACAUUUUCCUUGGGACCAUAGCAUAGUUUUUUAAGAUACCUUGUUUGCAACAAACUGAUAAGAGGAAUCUAUAACUGUAUUUAAAGGCAAGGUAAGACAUGCCUAUAAAAGAAGAAACCAAAAUUCUUCGCAGCAGCGACAAGCGCGGCCUCGUCGGGAGAGGCAGCUUGAUAAGUAAUCUUUUCCGGUGUCUCCUCACCCUCAGGAAGAACUGUAUGACAGAUUGCAAGGCAUCUGCAGAAUUGCUAUAGAGCAAAUAACAAAGUUGUUACACAACUAGCACAUUAACAAGGGAAAAUGUGAAAAAGGAAAAUAGGUUCCAAAUUUUAUUAGUAAGGGCAUAUAUCGUGAUAUGUGAAUAAUUUGUGUCAACUAAAUCAAAACUGAUUAUGACCAAAGGGGAACCAAUCGAACUAUUCCACAGGUAGUCCCGUAUUUACCACGCAAGCAUCAGGAUUAGGUUCAUUUCUCCAUGCACCACGCAUUAUUCUAGCAUCAUCAAAGUUGAAUCCUUUCUCAUGAACUGCAGUGGCUGAUCUUUUACCCUAAAAAAGGCAAGUAAACUGGAUAUUAAAUCAGUUGUGCAUUAAAUUUUUCAUCAUAUACCACCACACUUCAAUAGCGUAAACAACAAAGAAAAUGUUGUAGACCUCAUCAUCAUCAAUCUUGACUCCGGCUCGCUCGGCUCCUCCUUUUUCAAUCUCUGUGAUGCCAGUUCCAUAUAUUUCCCCUCCAAUCGAACAUUUAAAGAAUUCCAUCAAGUUUCUUGUAAGUGUUCCAGUUUUGUCAGAAAAUAUAUACUCAACCUGAACCAUUAGUGGGGCAAAAAAAAUUUGGCAGAAAUGUCAAAUUAUUUGCAAGUGUUAAGUGCAUUUUAGUACCACUCGGCAUUUGUUCAGUCAUAUAAGCAUUUCUGGGGAUCUAGAACAGUUUUUCGGUGGGAGUAAGUCACUUAAUAUUAGUGAAAUGAGACUGUUCCCCAAGUGCUUAUAAUUGAUCCCACUUUCUGGAAUGAGUCGGUGCAGUGAGGUCAUUCUAUCCAUUAACCAAACCCAGCCAUAUAGGUCAAAUAAGUAAAUAACCCCAUUUCAGCAACAAACAAAGGGGCUUUCAUCAAACUAAACAGAAUGCUAAGGAACAAAAAAAAAACUGAUAUUACCUGCCCAAGCUCCUCAUUCAGAUUAGAAGUCCGAGCCAAAGCUGGGGUGUUGCUCUCGGCAUGAUACAUAUUCAGAUCAUUGUUAAUAAACUUUGCACACUGAAUGAAUUUGAUCAUCUGCCAGCCAAAAUAAACAUAAGGUCCAAUCCAAAUACAGGGUACACUAAAUGAUAAAUUGGUCAAUAUACCUCAAUGGAUACAUAAAGAGAAAUGGGGAUGAUCGUUGAGUAUAGAGUUAUUAGAGUAAACAUAGUUAAAAUGGUCACCUGCAAAAGUACAAACCUAUGAUAUAAGGCCACUUAGAGAAUAUUCUCUACAAUAAAUUAACUAAAAUAAUAUAUACCACAAAUCUGUUCUUGGGAUUAAACUGGUCCUCGACACGCCCACGCAAUCCAAGAUAGAAGUAUUUCUCAUUAAUAAACACGCCACUGUUCACAAAAGCCAAGUAUGAUGAGUCCAUUGGUAGAGUUUUAGGUUUCUAAAGAACGUGCAAGCUAAGCAGUCAUAGUUACCAAAAUCUAUAUGCUGAACAGAGCACUUCCAUUUCUGACCAUCUAGAAAGUGCCCUAUUAUGUACCUCCCACAUAAAACCACUAAGAAAAAAGAUAAGGCUAUUAAGACCUAGUCAUGUGCUCAUCUAUACUGCUCCUAUGCCACAAUAAAAAAAUAACUUCCCCAAACAAGCUCCUGACAACUCAUGUCAUAAUGUUUAAAGUUUAUCUCUCUAUUAACAGUUGUUUUUUCAUGAUCAAUUAAAUUGUGAAAAAUGAUUGUGCAAGCAUAAGCCUCCACAACAUCAACCUAACCGAUAUAACUCAUGUUCAGAGAAUAUACAUGUAAACAAUAAUACAAGAUAGAUAAGUCAAAUAAAUGAAGUGGGCCAAAUAAAACACUGACCUUCCAAUAGCACCAAUGACACACAUCGUAAAGAGGGUUGCAAAUAGAGCAAGAAUAAGCUUGUCUAGUUUCUUCUCCAAUGUACUUCUUUUAGAGGGAACAUUCAUAGAAUUCAUCAUAACCUGCAAUAGUGUCCCACUGCAGUAAAUCUCAAAACUAGAAGCACAUCUAACCUACAAGUUGAAUAUAUAGGGACACAAAAUUGCACAUACUUUCGUCUCAUGGCCCGUGAAUAUAACAGCCGCGACAAUGUACUCUGUAUUACGAAGGCUGCAUCCCUGUGGCAAAGUGGUAAUAAGAGGUUGCAUGUGUGCCACAUAAAGAGAGAGAAUUAAGUGUCAUGCAAGACACCGUUCAGUCUGGUGAAAGUAAACAUUUCUUUUGCACUUUACAAACAUUGCUUCAACCCUUCACCACUUAUCCUACAUAUGGGACUAGAGAAGAAAUGGAAGUUGUUUAUAUGAAUGUUAAACAUUUCCAAAUUGUUUAUAUCAUAGCUAUCCUUGUUUGCAAACCAAUAAGAACAAUAUUAUUAUAGAGGUGUUUUAUGAUGAAAAUUUCUGCUGGUGACAUUUGGGUGUCGUCAAUAUUGGUAUUUGGAGGAGAUGUUGGUGAUCAAAGUUAAAGGCCGAGUAAAGGCAUCACGCUAUGAUGUUAUUUUUUACCUGAGGGAUUUUCUUAACAAACUCAUGCUAAAUCUAGAACAUGCAAACAACUUUGCAGGUGGACAAUCUUGUAAAGAAAUUUCAAGGGCAUGUUUGUGUGAGGGGUAUUACUUUGGUACGUGUUGGUAACUACAUACCUAAUUGUUACAAGAAAAAUCUCAUCCAAACAAGCCCUAAGGACAUUAUGGACCUUGCUACUGCAAAGUUGGUAAGUCGAAAAUACGACAGGAUGUCUGAUUGAUAUGUAGGACCUGGACCCACAUGUCAUUCUCACAGCGAGUCGCACUAUUUCAAAUGUCAACUUUGUGGUGGCAUGGUUUCAAUUUUCCCAAUAAGAAACUAGAUACAAAUAGCAUAGAUGAACAGCACUUACCCUUAGUAGUAUUUGAUUUGGUGAAAUUGGUAUAGUUUGCUUGUCCACAAUAAGGUUCCCGGUAAAUGUAUAAAGUGAAUUGUUUGGCUGUUCGCAUUGUAUUUCACCUGUAAGCCAUGAAACAUACAGAUAAUGUGAAGUUAAGAAAAUGUAGAAUAGUUAAGUGAAGUUCAGAAAAGGAGCAAUGCUUCCUACACCAACUACCGAAAAAUGUCUGCAACAUGGAACAAGAAUAGAUAAAAACCUUUGAAUUCAGAAGCCUUUUCAGGAAUUACGCAGUCCCAGGUUUUCUCCAAAGCCUUCCUUAUUUUCAGGUUAGUUUCCCCAUCAAGAUUUGCUGUCUAAGGUAAAUAGAAGUAUGAUACACUUCAAUUAAAACAGAGUUUCUCUAAAUCAUUCAAUAAUUUCAAUUUGGACAAAAGAUGGAGAAGGUAAGAAUGAAUAUAUUGACCUCUAUGUAGCAGACACCAUCAGGGUUCGUACUUGAUAGGAAGAGCAAGUCAGAAGGAAAGUAAGUGUCUUGCUUGAUCUGCUCUAAAGAAGUGCCAUCACUAUUAGUCUUUUUGGAUAUGUGUAUCGAGCUGAAGAUUAAAUUUGCACAGCACAAAAGAUCAAGUGCAUUAAUUUGUGGAAGCAACAGAUCAAUUGAAUUGAUCAUCAAAUUGCUAUCAGGAAAGAUGAAGACAUUACCCUCACAAUAUCUCCAACCUGCAGUCUUUUCCAAGGGGCACUUUCCCAUUUUUGACCUUGCAAUACAUCGACGUGCGCAUUAUUAAUUGACAUGUCAUUCUGGAAACGUUUCUGUAUAAUGGGAGGCAAACAAAAAGGGAAGAAUAUCAGAUAACAUUAAGAAUAGCAAUAAAAUAGUGGAGCAACAGAGCAUGAGAGCAAUACUAACCCAGUCCUCAAAAGCUUCCUUGAUGAGUGAAACCAAAAGCACUAAACUAAGUGGAACCACAUUGGUGACAGGGUGGACUGGACUGCGAAGAUACAAGCAUGUAUGAACUAAGAUUUCUAGAAGUAAAGGUGAAGGAAAGCAAAGGAUGACUGAAUCAACUGAUGGACUUGAUAUGCUAAGAAGUGUCUAGCUGUAACAUGAGAAUUCCAUAGGGUGCAUGCAUGAGAGAGAGAGAGAGACCUAAUUGGUGUAGUCGACAAGAUUGAAAUCAUAAGAAAGUAAAGAUUUGCCACCCGUCUGAACUGUCAAAGCAAAAAAAAAAACAAAUGAAUUACAAAAGGUUCCUAUGGUCAAAUUGCGAUAAUACAGAAAGGGAACAUCUAAAUCGGUGUUACAGCUACCAUUGCAAAGUUUCUUUAUUCGAUAUGGAAAAAUGCAUUACAUGUUUAAUGUAUGAAGCCAUUGAAAUACUUUAAUGUACCUUACGUAAAAAACAGUGGAUAAUGAAAUUGCCAGAAUUAUGGUAUCGCAUAAAAUGAAGGUUACAUUGAGCGAAAAGCAUGAUCAGGGCUUUACCAAAUAACAAAAUCAUACUUCUCCUUUUCUCAAUAUAUGGCAUUUUAGGUUUCAUUGAAGACAAGUCUUUGAAAAGGAUUUACUUUGUGUUGUUUUUAAGGCAUGAAAUUUAUAUCACUAGAUUCAUCCUCAAAAGUACUUAAUGUGGAUUCAUAUCAUAUAAAUCACAUAUUAAUGAAGUAAUUCUUGGUCAAAGUCUUGUAUUAACGAAACCUAAUAUGUCCUGUAUUGACAAAAUGAGGGAGUAUAUUAUCUAACAGUGCAUGUAUACAGGCACGAUACUGGUAGCGCGUAUUACAAGCAAGGUAUCUUAAAAACAUUGCAACACAGUGCCAGACCAGGUAAGCAACUAAGCAUCUCAUGUAUCCACUAUUUUAAGGGAAGUUGAUCCAGAGUGAGGAAAUAAACAUUUUUAAGGAGAUAUAUCAAUUUGCAAUGUGAAAAUGAUACGGAGUAGUAUAAUCAUUUCACUGUGAUAACAAAUACUCCCUCCGUUCUAAAUACUUGUCGCUGUUUUAGUGCAAACUAAAACAGCGACAAGUAUUUAGGAACAGAGGGAGUAACUUCCAUUUACCGUUAGACAUGAUACAAAAUAAUAUGUUGAAAAAAAAUCUAGCCAAAAACUAAAAAACAAACAGAAAAUCUGCAUUAAACGAUGACAAACCCAGCAGGUAUGUUGAUUAACAAAAUAUGUAUGAACAAAAAACAACGCAUCAAUACCUGUUCAAACAAUCCUUUAGGUAGAAAUGUCAGCACACUGUACUUUGUAGUCGACACAGAAUUUCCCUGGAAAUGUAGAAUGAGAAUGUUAAAGAACUAAUUCUAGCAGAAAAACAAAGUAGCGCUCUGCAUUAGAAUCGCGAUGGUCUGAUACCCAACAUGAGGGAGAUUCUGAAACUAAACAGAAGAGCUAAUUGCAACUAGAAGCAUGAAAAAAGUAUAGCUUGAUCUUUUUACAACAUCAAGUCUGAAUACAUUCAAGCAUUUACACUAACUUGGAACAAAAUGUGGGUGUCAAAGAAAAUGCAUGAAUACACCUACUUACAAUAAAGCACCAAUUUUGCAGUGAUUGGACAAACUAUGGUUAAAAUACUUAAUAAUAGAGUUCUACGUAUUUGGAGGCAUAAAACGCAUUGCAGUUGGAGCAGUGGCAUUAUCAUGUUAGUCAGUCUAACAUGGCAGUGAAUGACGUGAAUUUUUUGCUAGUUUAGACCUCUGGCCAGCGCAAUUGACAAAAAUGCCCCCCUCUCAAAACUAAUGCCAAAAAUGGUCUGGCAGAAGGCCCGAAAGGCGCCACAUUUCAUUUUUCGCCAUCUGAGCUGCGCAUGCAAACAUUCCGACAACCUGAAAGGCGGAAAGGCCGUUCCGCCUACUGCAUUUGAUGAAUGCACCUGACAAGGGCGGAAGGUGAACUGGGCCCUGCAGAUGGAAGCAAUUUCCACAUUUGUUACAGACCUGGAAUCUUUUUUUUUGUUGGAGUCGACGGACCAUGUAUGUGCGGAUGCAUAGGAAUCGGCAAGCAGCCUAGCUGCUAGUUCACGGGCACGUUUUACAUUUUCUUUCCUCAGGUUUGGCUAGUGCUACCACGUUGAUACUAAUCAACGCUUCUUGUGAAUGGGCUUAGUUGCUUCUACUAGUCGUGCGAGCGUUAAUCUUUUCUCUGUGCGCCUGCAUGUGCGGGCGUGGGAAUCGGGUCAGGUCCCUGCAGACAGCACGCCUGGCUGCACUGGGCCUGCUUCAGCUUCCGCCCCUGAAAAUUCACUUUCGUCCAUUUCAACUGGAAACAAGUAGGCUCCACCUGUCCUGUUGGCGGAAAGUUCAUUCCUCCUACCCAGUGGCCACUGGGUCAGUUGCUGGGCUUUCCACCACGUCAUUUUUCAAAUUAUAUUUCAGAUGGAGCUAUUUUUGCCAAUUCCGUUUGACAAGGGGCUACAAGAGCAAAGAAAUUGAAUGACAUAGCAAGCAAUCAAUUUCCCCUUAUAGGUAAAUAAUAAACAGCUUUGCUUCAGCUUACUGUCAUCAGCUGGUGGCUGACUGCCCUGACCAAACACAAGUUCAGUAAUCUACACAGCAAGCGGCACACAGGUGCAGCUAAGCACAUGGAUGAACAGAAUAUUCCAGCCAUUGAGGCUCAGCUCUCGAAGCUUAAUGCCAGGUGGCAUCUACAUUGUAUUGCAGCCCGUAGCACCCUGAUUGACUAGUAACCCAACAAUGAGACAAGCUCUAAUCCACCCAAUGACCUCACAGUUGGCAAGAAAUGCAGCCCUUAGUGACACGCACCACCCUACAUAACUUUCUCGUGGACUAAUCAGUAUGAAUCAUAUAAACCCUCUGCAAGCUGCAGUGAAAUAAAACUACUACUACUGAACUAGCUAUUGUCCCAGAUGGCCAUCUCCAACCCAACCGCCCAAGCAUGAAACAAGGGGCCAGUUACGAGAUCUAGGCCUACAGACCCCUAGACCUUGAGACAACCGACCUGUUGAUCAUCCGAAUUAGAGGAGGAGGUGCACACCCGUACCUUGUACCCGACCGGCGCGUUGGCUUCGCGGUCGUUGCAGUAGAUGGUGCGCACGGUGGGUGCCUGCGGCUGCGGCUGCCGUCGGAGGCUGCCGCCCCCGCCGCCGAGACGCGCCGUCCUGGACGCCUCAGCGCGGCCGGCCUGAGAGGUCCCCCCCCGCGGCGACUGCUCGCCGCCCAGCCGCGCGGUGGCAACCCGCAUCAUCUCCUUUAUGCGCGAGCUCAUCCUGCCCCCCUCAGCGCCAAACCCAGCGCUGGAGGAGCCGGCGGGAGAUCUGGGGAAACCUCACGGUGGAUCGGAGGGGAGACCUAGUCGGAUUUGCGCGGCUUUCUGGUGGAUUUCAGUGCCUCGCUGAGGAGGGGAUUCGAUUUGGGUCACGCGUUCCCGUAUGUGCGUAUUUUUUCCGUGUAAUUUUUUUGUUUUGCCUUUUUCUUUUCCUUUGGCUCCGGGAGAAGAGAAGACAGGAGGGGAAGGAAAAGCGAAGGUCGCGACUUCGCGAGGAAGAAAAUGAAGGGAUUACUGCAGAUCACACCCUUGAUUAUUUUCGAAUAUGGAAAGCUCCAGUAACUGAAGUUUGAAAUUCCAGCCGCGUUUGUCUUUUCCUUCUUCGAGCAAACAACCGUGUUCUUGACUUGUUCUAUGUUUUUGCUGUCCGGAGGACUACCCGAUUUGCAAGUAAAUAAUGGCAUUAAUUUCAUAUAAGCACUUUAGGACACCACACUUGACAUGGUUUUCUACUGACGACGACUAUAUGGUGGCUUUGAUGUUCCAUGAAUAGAUCUUUUUAGCGGUGUUUCAAGUUCAGGUGUUAUAACAAAGCAUUACUCUUGACCUAUCUUCCCUUGCGACCAUGCUUUUUGAAUCGCCAAGUCGAGUCGAAUCGCCCCCCAACAGACUUGGAGGUUAGUAUGAUUAGUCAGAAACUAGUCUCGACUAAUCAACCCAAGUCGAGCCUAGUGAUCAGUGAGGUUUAGGGAGCUCUAGCAGGGAGCAUUAGAGGAAAGGAGUGAAUUGCAGUAGAGGGGAAGCACGAGGGAACAGUUUUUGUGGUGCUGGAGCUUGAAGAAGAGGUUCAUGGCGGCUAGGAUCUAGGAGUCGAUAAACUUAGAACGCCCGUGUUGAGGCAAACGCGUUGAGGAAGACGACUUCAAAGGUGGUUGGCUCAUUAUCAGGAUAGGUGCGUGCCUGGCAGCCCAUAAAGGCCUAUUAGAAAACCCUAACUCCCCCCUCCCCCCCCCCCCCACACACACAUUGCCUUCUUCUACACCACACACGCACCAAUGGCGGCCAUCUUCUUCCCCUUCCCUGCUGCUCCCCAUGCCUUCUCUCCCUCCCCGAAAAGAAAUAUCUUCCGAAAAUUCUUCUCUUCGAGUCAAGUUGAGGGGCUCGCGGCGUUCCUAGUCACGGCGGCUAGUCGGAGAAGUCGCGGUUCUAGCUGACGAGUCGCGCGACUUGCUCUGCUAGUCGAGUCGCGGCUGCAAGCCGCCAUCAUUGUGCUGGCUCGGCGACUAGUUGGCGAUUCAAAAACCAUGCUUGCGUCUUAUAAUUUUGUUUCCUCUUAGAUUUUUUUCAAUUAUGUAUGGAACUCUUUUAAGCUUGGCUAACAUAUUGGGUCAAUUUGUCUCCCAUUGAAAAAAAAACAAUUUCCUAUAAAAAAUAAAGUAUCCACAAAACAAUAUGCAUAGCGCAGUUGUUUUCAAAGUUGUGGAUGAAACUUUGUGUUGUACAGGCAACCACUUAAUAACUUGUUCGGUUGUAGAAUUCCCCGCAUGUAUUGAAGAGGAUUAAGAGAGAUCUAAGGAAAAUUGAUCUGCAAUUCGAUCAUUCCCUCUUAAUCCCCAUCGGAGUGGAAUCAACCGAACGGGGCUAAUGUGGACCAUAUCACCUUGAGGACUCCAUUCUUCUUUUAUGGCAACGUUGCAUGGACCUUGAUAUGAACGCACGUGCCUGCAAUCUCUAUUAUUUUUUCGUAAAUAGCAACUGUCCUUUCUGUAUCUUGUAAUAUGUUUUCUACAAUUUUAUUUGGGAUAUUUCGUCAAGAACCCAAAUCGAUUACAUUUUCCACUUUGGCGAAUGAGUCAAGAUUCUCCAUGUGUUCCAGCGAGGCAACUGCGAGCUACACAUGUAUGGUGAAACAAGCCUCGCAACUUCGUAAGUAACUCCAAAACUACAUCAGCACGUCUCUUGAACUUUGGAAACACACAGACGUGUUCCACGACCGUGAGGCGACGGAGUUAACGGGGCAGCGUUGCCGGAAAGACAAGAGUACCGUAACAAGGCCCAGACUGGGCUGCAUCGGCGUUCUGCCUCUAUUACAAGCGAGAGAUGUUGAACCGGCCAAGGUUAGGCAAGGCAGUCAGCGGGAGGAUUUUUUUUUUUUUGUUGUUGGUUUUGAAGAGGCGCGGGAGGAGAAGAACUUGCUUGACCAGCCCACAAGAUCGUGAACCGGUAUGACAUUGACAUUUUAUUUAGGGCCAGUAACGUGUAAUUAGAAGUACUAGCUUACAUCUCUUCCUUUUUGAACCGUCAGAUCUGCAACCAUAUCAUCUCUCCCCUUUGUCCUCUUCGCUAUGCCGAUUUUAGUGAAACGCCGCUGCCAAAUCUUCACAGGAUUGUGAACCGGCAGCAGCUUCGACCCUUCAAUAUUAUUAUUACAGCUAAAUAAAAGACUGAAAUUAUAGGUGAGGUCCUUUGUUCUAAUCGCCCAAGCGAGCAGAAGCCAAGAGAUUACGUGCAAGCAUAGCAUGGCCAUGUUCGCCAACUCAUGACAUAGUGGCACAGGGACUAACCACCUGGAUUACAUGGCUAGCUUCCAUAUAUGUGCAACAAAAUAUUGGUACCAGGCAGCCAUCUGUGCCACCAACCAUAAACUCCCUGAUCCCAAAAAAUACAAAAUACCAAGAGUUUCCACCCACAUCAGUACAAGUGCACAACAGUUUAAGAGACAAGCCAAGGAUCAUUCCCAGUUUGUGGGAAUAAAUAAGAGUCCGCAGCAAACAGAAAACUCAAAAUCGCUGGCAAAGUUAGGAUGUGGAAAAAAGAAAGGCUUAAAAUGAUCUAGCCAUGGCGUCAGAAUCUAUUAUCAAUGUUUCUCUCUCAAGGAUUUCCCUUCUAUAUAAAGUAUAAUAUUACAAAGGGGCUGCUUAAAUAUCAUGGACUCCUGGAAUGUAAAGAGGGUAAUAAUCAACACUACAUGAGCCUCCUUUUUCCUGAGGCUGCUUCCUAAGACUGACUGACUGCUUCCCCGAGGAUCCACAUACACCCUCCCCUCUCCUCAAGUUCCACCUCCCACCAUGGAAGUUAAACCCCCACCAUGGAUCCGAUGCUAACCAACUGUACGCGACCUGGAGAAAGUCAGUCAGCUUGGUGGUUCAAUCAAGACAGAGCAUCACGAUAUUGCCCAAAUGGUAUAAUUGGCAGGAUCAAUAAGUAGUUUAUGCUCGCAGCAAGAUCCAAAAGAACCAAUCUACCAUGACUAAUGUAUGACAAGAAUGAUGUCUUAUGUCUACUUUCAGAUACACUAUGGUCCAGGUGAAACAAUAUUUUAAAGUUUAGUAAUUACUGGCAGUAGUAGACAGACCACAGAAGUGUAAAGAUAUUUGCACACAUGACCUUUUAAUCCAAGGCUAACCCAACCUUGUAAGCUACGUGCUGUUUGUGCUAACGCUGCUGCUUGAAUGCAAUUAGACAGUGGUGAUGUCCUUGUUAGUCUGUUACAUACCUAAGGCAUCACCUCCUGAUUCUAGGUUUGCACCGGAACUCUGCUAAGAGCGCUAUGUGAUCUGAUGACCAUUCAGGUGAAGGAAGAGCAGUGUCUUUUCUUAAGCUCUCCUCAUCCAGAAGUUCCAACAAAGACUCCACGGUCAACGAAUCCGCUGAAACAAUAAAGGAAACAUGAUCAACUGACCAUAAUCAAACAUAUCACAAUACUACAAGCUGAUUCUGAAGCAAUUCCCAGAAGUCUAAAUACAGCAUACAGGUCAGGUACCUACCUGUGUAAAAUAUAUAAUCAACAGUUCCAGUGAAAUCCCUUGUGCAAUUUGUGAAAAGUGGUUCAUUUGUUCCUGGAUCCAUCCUCCUUCGCUGGUGCUCUAAAUCAUAGCCAACACCUACCAUUCUUGCAAAUGAAGAAUAUGCACUGACCUGCAAACAAGUAAACAUUGGUCAGAAUUUUAAAGGAAGAACAAGAUAGACAAGCUUGAUAGUUUUACUGUACCAGAGGAAGCUGGUGCGUCAACUUGCUCACGGGGCGUAAAAUUGAAAGUGGGUCUAUGGCCAGAUCUGGAUGCAAUUGAUCAACUUUGCCCACCGCAAGAAGCCCAUGUGGAGUACUGAAAGACAAAAGGAAGCACUUAGAGAUUUAAAGUUAGAAAAAACAAGUAAACCUGAAAAAUAUUGCUCCAAUAGAAUCUUGACAUGCACCUCCCCGGGAUUGAAUUGAAAUCCCCACAGACCAACAUUGGAAUGUCUGCACUGUUGGCUAUUUUCUCCAAUCCUUUUAGUAGUGUUUGAACCUGCAAAAAACAUACUUACUUUCGAUCUGAAUUUUUCAGAUGUUGCAGAAUGCUAGCCUACAGAGAAUGUGACAAUACUGACCUCCCAUAGUUUCACAUCUUUGAGGUCUUGGUGGACAUUUACAUGUGUAUUGGCCUGAAAUUUGAGAUCAUUUAAAAGAAUGAGACCUCCAUGACUCCAAGUAGCAUAAGCCUAGGCCGUAUGAACAAUGGGAAAUCUGUAGUAAAGUUGGCCUCAAAAUCUAGAGUCUAGAGAGCCAAGUCCCAAUCAUCCGCCAUUAACAUAUAGAUGUUUCCGUGCAUCUUAUGCUACUAAGGUCAUCCUACACAGAUAUAUGUUUCACUUCAUUCCUAAAUGUUGUGAGCAAAGAAGGAAAAGAAUCCAUAUGUUGUUCUGCACUAUGCUGCUAGCAGUUCAAUAGCUAAACAUACGGGAAAGUCCACUUUUGGCCCCUUAACUAUUGCCUCAGAUCAAAAUCAUCUAAUUUGCACCCUCAACUAUCAAAAGCAUCCAAGUUACAUCUGAAGGCAAUAUUUGUUAGAGGCUUUGUGUGAUGUGGCAUCCAUGUCAACGUGUUUUGCCACAUCAAUCGCUGCUGGGCAGUAGGGCCCACAUAUCAUGGCUGCCGUGCCCCUUCUUUCUUUAUAAUUCUUCCUCCUUAGCCAUGCCAUGGCCUCCUCUGUAGGCUAUAGCUUCCACUGCUGCUGCUACAGAUAACCCAUGUUUGACGUUGCAUAACAUCUUCUGAUUUAGAGAGGGGUAUCCUGACAGACAUGUACCAGUCUCCGCAAACCGCUGCACGGCUGCAUCCUGAGGGGAAUGGACAAAGAGAGGAUUAGAGAGGAAGGCUGAGGAGGGAGGCGUUUAGGGCGACUCCAACACGGCCACCCAAAUCGGACACAAAAAGUGUGUCCGUUUGGGUCUGCUGGUGCCCCUAACACGGUCACCCAUUUGGUCCGUUUUAUUAUUUAGUAUUGGCCACGGAUAGGCGGGCCAGGGCAAGGACAAGGGAGGACAAGCGCAGUGUCCACCCGCUGUCCGCCCAGACACAAACCCGGUCAGAUUUGGGUCGGCAAUGGGUUGAGCUGGACAGAAAAGCAGACAGCCGCCACACCGGACGAAAUGGGUCGCCGCGUUGGAGUCACCCUUAAUGCUAAGCUGGGAAAGAGGAAGGGAACAGAAAUAAGAGGAUGAGGACAAGGGAGGGAGAAAAGGGUGCUUCCAAAAAAUCAAUCCCAGGCAUGUGGGGCCUACUGCCCAGUGGAGAAUGAGAUGUCAAAGUUGCUGAUUUGGCGGCUACAUACAGAAUAUCACUCAUGAAACCAGCUUCUGGUCCUAUCGAACGGUUUCAUGAGUUGAUGGUUCAAUUUAGACCAGGCAAAAGUUGAGGGAUCAUAAUUAGGCUUUUCCAAACAUAAAUGAAUGUCAUGCUGUAAAAGUAGUGUUCGUCAUCCAGUAAACUGGUUCGAAUAUCCAACAAGCGCACAACUACUUUAUACACAUCUAAAGAAAGAACAGCUAUUUACAUACCACACAAAGGAGCUGCCUUUUACCAGGAGUUUCAGUUCCUUGGUUGCCAAAUUUUGCUUCUAAAACCGCAAUCAGCGCAAUAUUAUCCUUCAAAGCAAAUAGAACGUGUGAUAAAUAACAUCACUUUUUUUUGCGAAAAGUGAUAAAUAACAUCACUGUAGCAUACAUUAUUUCUUUUGAAGUUAAUCUUACUUUAAUCAGUCGACUUAAAGCCACUCUUUUCUGGGAAGCUGGAAUAAUAGCUUCUGUUAAAGACUGUGCAGCCUUAUUGAACUCAACCUACACAAGCAAGUACAAGUAUUAGAUAGCUGCAAAUAUCAAGCUGCUGCAAACCUGCAGUACAGGUACCUCGUAUUUUUUGACAUGUGAAAAUCUAUCUCUACGGAAGAAAGUAGCACAGCCAUCAAUGGCAUUAGGAACUCCAGCAUACACCUGUGACAACAGUAAAGUAAAAUCAAACAAGAGACAAAAGGUAUUAAACCAAAAUAUGAAGGAAAAAAUCAACCCAAAGAUACCUCUGUUGUCCGUUUCUUGUAAAGCGCCUGAUACCCAUGUUUAUCAAACUCAGGAGCAAAAAAAUCCUCAAAGUGGUUCAAUUGUACCUGAAAACAGUAGGACUUGGCUUAAUUCCCUCCUGUUACAAUCUUCGGUCACUCUUCGUUUUUAUUGUAAGCCGCUUCAGUAAACUCUUCAUAAUAUAUAUGCAGACAAUAUUCGUGAAAGUUUAAACAGCAAGCAAACUAUCAUAAAUUCAUAAUCCAACAUCACUGAAAAGUGAAAACAAUCAAACAAAGUGAUGGCACAAAUAUGGAAACGAACAGCCCAGCAGUAUAUGAAAGAUUGUAGGUUGAUGAACAGGGUUCCGGCAUUAAAGUUUACCGAGUCGCAAAAAUUAUAUGAUCAACCAAAUGAGACAUGCUCGGUUCCUAAAACAAAUAUAUGAGAUGAAAAGCUGAAAAUAGGUCACCAAAAUAAAUAAAUUCAGAAGAUAGCAAACAUAUGAUACCUCCUGAAGACAUAUAAUAUCAGCAUGAUAACCAAUAAUUUCGCGCAUCAAAUUUUGUCUUCUGUAAGUCCAUGAAAGUGCCCACGUUGGGCAGUAGCUAUAUGCAUCAGAUGUAGCAUAUGCAUCAGCAAGAAUAUUAUAGGACAGCACCGUGAAUGUCCCAAAAGAAGAAGUCUGGCUGUCUAUAUCUGAGUGACCCAAAACAUCUCCAUUCACUUGGAUAAGGCGGCGUGGAGUAGGAGUUGGUGCUGGAAUCACACGUGAUGUCAUAAUUGAAGUUGGAGACCCCGCAGGUACUUUCUUUUCCGUAUCCACCGCUGCACAUUCAAAUCUUAGAACAUGCCCAAUAUCAUCAGCAGUUGGUGUAUACGUCUGCGAGCGUCCCACUUCAAACCAUGUUUCACCCGAGUUCUUAUCAGUGCCUGAGGGAUACAAGGGAACAGGUCCAUUAUUAACUCCAGGGCUCUGUCCAAGAUUUGACAUUGAGCCAGACCCAGAACUUAGAAUCCCAGAACUACCGCUGCCAAAUCUACCAAAUAGCUCCUCCUCUUCAGCUCCAUUUUCAUUUAAAGCACUACUAGCUCGCUCAUGCAAAACCCUGUGGUGCUGCCAUGCAUCAGAGAAGCACUUAGCAGAACAAUGGUAGCUCUUAGCAGCAGGUAUUUUUGACUUGAGACAACCUAAGCACUGAAUUGUUGCUUGCUCCAUCGGAUGUACACUGCAGAUAGUAACUUUUCGAUCACUCUGUAUGCGAUACCUUCGAGCGAAAAGUCAAAUCAGUAUAACCAUGUGCUACUAGAUACAGAAAAAGUUUAGAAGAACAUGAUUGAAUAUAGUAACUACAAGAAAGGACACCUAAAUUGCCAAUGUUUUAGCAUGUAUGAGAUCCAGGAAAACUUGCUAUCAGCAUCUUGGAAGUCCAUUAUUCAGAGACAUUAGACUCACAACACUUCCAUUAUAAGCAUAGUAUGAAUAAGGCAAAAUGAAGCAGGUUGCCAAGAUGUCGCAAAAAAAAAGAAGCAAAUUACAAGUUUGCUUGUCAUGAGUUGCUGCUGCUGUUGUUUUUUCUUGAUUUUAGUCCCUCAACCGGCUAACUCGUGAUCAUUCAUCUCUUGCUUUCUUUACCAGAUCAACCAUGCAACUGAUUUCUUUAGCGGACCAGGCAAUAUAUGUAAUAAGCAAAAUUCUACAGUUUAGAUCAGAGAUUCAGAGGACUAUUGCAGGCUCUCAUAUAUCAUCAUUAGGGCAUGACGACCAGACAAGGAAGUUGCUGUGUAUAUUAUUAUUCCUAGAAGAAAAACAUUUAAGUACUGUUCAAGGAGGCGACCAACUAUAGCCCAGUGCCCACCCCAUCAAUCGAUUAGUGUCUUUCAGAACACUUCAUUUCAACAAUGUGUCUAUAAAUGGCCACACUUACUAUACUCAAACCUCAAACCUUAAAAGUGAAUAAAGAUGCACAUAUCACAUGAGAUUCUAUCAAGCUAAUGACUGAAAAGCAACACAAUGAAAAUAUAAAAAACUAUAGAAUUGAAGGACCAAAACCAAUGAAACUGCAUGAGUGUUAGUGGGACCAAGCACCACCAUUUCGAAAAGUUCUAAGGUCUAAAGUCUCAGCAAUAAAUGCUAUUUAAACCUACAUGACAUUAAAAAAACGGAUGUGAUAAAACAAAUAAAUAUUCACGAACAUGAUCAAUCAUUCAGAGCGGGAUUCUAAAAUUGAUCACUGAAAUUGUUCGGCCACCCAGCUAUUAGUGAUUAUACAGCCGAGCUAGCUCAUUGCAGUGGGUGGCAUAACCAGCGGUUACAAGUUCUUUUCUCUCAUAUUUGCCUCUCCAUUUUUCAUUUUUUUAUUUCCAAAUAGAUCUACAAUGUUAUUUGAAUUUUAAAAAUAAUAGGUAGGGCACUCCUUACAUACAUGACCUCCUAGGCCAUUUAAAACAAAUAUGCAUUGUUUGGGGUUUUUUAUAUAACAUAAAGUAAGUUAACUAUGACACACUGCCAAAAUAUUUUUGCAUAAAAAACAUUAAAUUUGAUAUAGCACAGAAAGAACGUGGAUAUCCAGCAAGAGAUUAAAGAAGGCAAAGUGGGGCAGGCAGUCAGCAAAACAAAACUAGUGGAUCACGAGUUUCAAACUUUUACUAGCUUUAAGCAACUGAAAUAACUUGCCACUGAACCUAGUGAGCCAACAACUCUAACGUGUAAUAGCAAACAAGUAAUAAUUCUUUUGAAGCUCCAGAAUAAUCAAAACUGAGUCUAGAAUCAAGCUAGAAUGCCCAUUUGAGUUCACUGGUGAUGUUAGAGUGAUACUUAGUUCAAGGAGUAUAUCCAGAUACCCCAAUCAAAAAAAUCAUCUGAAGCCAUGCGAACAAACUGAUGGCACUUCUAGAAUAGUGUCUUUCCACAAAAUUAGUUAGAUAAGCCUAUGUAAUCCCAAAAUUUAUAAAAUGCUCCCGUUCCAUCCAAGAUGAACGUAAACAUUCCUGCACAACGAUUGGCAACAAUCCUCAACCCAACAGCCUUCAUCACCAUCCUAUGAUGCUAUCUAACACUCAAUAGUUCUAGCAAAACCAAAAUCAGAUGGUCUGUUUUGCUCAAUGAAUUACUUAUUAUCAUUACCAACCCGUGUGGCAGGUUGAUAUGGCAUAGACUAAAUAGUAUGAUUCAUAAACAGGCUUAAAAUAAUGCAAUACUGAGUUCUUUACCAAAUCAAGCAUUGGCAUUUCAUGUUCCCUGGGUUUCCAUUCGUUCCAAAAACAAACAACUGUCUUGCUAGAGAAAAUCAUGCUCAGAAUUCAUAUAGUUGUGCUUCAUUUAUGCAAGAAUCAAGACGAUUCAUGAGUUUAGCAAGUAGUUAAGCAUCUAGCAAACUGAUUGAUACUUAAAGCCCCCAUUUUCUUUUUUUCUUUUUUGUCAAAAUUCACUUGUAGCAACGCACAAGCGGAACUAAGCAUUCGAAAGUGUAUAUCCUAUUGAACCAAAAGUUGCAAUCACGAGCUGCUCACUCACCAUCUGUAUCGCAUGAAGUGGCCAUCAACAGGCGCGGCCUCAGGCACGUCGUCGGUGGAGAUUACACCGUUGGGCAGCCGCAGCAGCACGUACGGGGUGAUUUCGCACCCCACGAUCGGGAUCUCCGACGGCAGGUGCACCCGCACC
Molecule: long non-coding RNA, 25454 nt
Filed under: Brachypodium distachyon (stiff brome)
Lineage: Eukaryota; Viridiplantae; Streptophyta; Magnoliopsida; Poales; Poaceae
Description: long non-coding RNA (BDIS_LNC003394)
Source: RNAcentral